AUGGGCCCUCUUGUGGUAGACCCACAUGUCAUCGGUGUAACUAUUUACACUCCGGAGGAUGGUGCCUAUAUCCUGGUAGUAGUACUAGUAGAAUUGAGAUUUAAUGCACUUUCUUCCCUGUCUUCCACUCUUCUUCCUCCUCUCUUCUUCUUCCUCCUCUCUUCCCCAUCGUCGGCCGCACACCAUUUACCCCCGCUCACUGCUCGCCCGCCCGCACCAUCUUCCUUGAGAUUCGUCGACACAGCUUGUUGCCAGUCGAAUAAGGAUUGGCCGGUGCUGCCGGCUGGCGUCAAGUUCGAUCCCACGAAUCGGGAGCUGAUCGAGCACCUUGAGGCUAAAGUGAGUGUUGACAGUGCGAGAUUUCAGUCUCUCAUCGAUUUGUUCAUACCAACCAUCGACAGCGAGCACGGCAUAUGCUACACCCAACCUGAGAAACUUCCAGCAAAAAAGGUUCUGGUGCUGCACACCAACAAGAACUUCGACCAGCAGAGGACCAACUGGGUGAUGCACCAGUACCACCUCGGGGACCUGGAGCAAGAGAAGGAGCGGGAGCUGGUCCUCUGCAAGAUUUUCUACCAAACGAACACUAGGGCCAGGAGUAUUUUGGUAUUGGUAGUUGUACUACCUUGUCGUCCGCAAGUUGGUAUUGUUGUUAACGAUCUUUUGGCCCAGCCCAUGACGACAACGGGGCACAAAGAUCCAGCAGGUAUCUACUGGCCUCUGGCCCGCCAGUGUUAG
RNAcentral lists this ribosomal RNA (738 nucleotides) under Triticum aestivum (bread wheat). RNAcentral's name for it is "partial small subunit ribosomal RNA". Lineage: Eukaryota; Viridiplantae; Streptophyta; Magnoliopsida; Poales; Poaceae. The record is from RNAcentral.